This 76-nucleotide transfer RNA is filed under the name Treponema sp. RNAcentral's name for it is "tRNA-Gln". It matches the Rfam family "tRNA". Rfam says of the family: Transfer RNA (tRNA) molecules are approximately 80 nucleotides in length. The record is from RNAcentral. Lineage: Bacteria; Pseudomonadati; Spirochaetota; Spirochaetia; Treponematales; Treponemataceae.
UGGGACGUCGUCAAGCGGUAAGACAACGGGUUUUGAUCCCGUCAUUCCGCAGGUUCGAAUCCUGCCGUCCCAGCAA